GAGAUAGAACUCUAGAGCUUUGGUUCCAAGUCAGAAAUAGAGUACACAGAGACAUCUUGUCUUUCUUUUUUCUCGAAACAACGGUAGAAAUAAAGAAAGAAAAGCACAUCAAGCAGUAGUUCAUGAUCACAAAUGAAACAGAGUUGAUGAAUUAGAAAUUUUUUCAAACCCCAUCAUCUGCCUUCCGGGUGCAAUGGGAAAAGCUCCAGAGUUCUAUC
Molecule: unclassified non-coding RNA, 218 nt
Filed under: Hevea brasiliensis (rubber tree)
Lineage: Eukaryota; Viridiplantae; Streptophyta; Magnoliopsida; Malpighiales; Euphorbiaceae
Source: RNAcentral